GAUGAACGCUGGCGGCGUGCCUAAUACAUGCAAGUCGAGCGAACAGACCAGGAGCUUGCUCCUCUGACGUUAGCGGCGGACGGGUGAGUAACACGUGGAUAACCUACCUAUAAGACUGGGAUAACUUCGGGAAACCGGAGCUAAUACCGGAUAAUAUAUUGAACCGCAUGGUUCAAUAGUGAAAGACGGUUUUGCUGUCACUGAUAGAUGGAUCCGCGCCGCAUUAGCUAGUUGGUAAGGUAACGGCUUACCAAGGCAACGAUGCGUAGCCGACCUGAGAGGGUGAUCGGCCACACUGGAACUGAGACACGGUCCCGACUCCUACGGGAGGCAGCAGUAGGGAAUCUUCCGCAAUGGGCGAAAGCCUGACGGAGCAACGCCGCGUGAGUGAUGAAGGUCUUCGGAUCGUAAAACUCUGUUAUUAGGGAAGAACAAAUGUGUAAGUAACUAUGCACGUCUUGACGGUACCUAAUCAGAAAGCCACGGCUAACUACGUG
Molecule: ribosomal RNA, 497 nt
Filed under: uncultured bacterium
Lineage: Bacteria
Description: partial 16S ribosomal RNA
Rfam family: Bacterial small subunit ribosomal RNA
Source: RNAcentral